Long non-coding RNA from Apus apus (common swift), 1840 nucleotides. RefSeq lists it as uncharacterized. The transcript has 2 exons. The record is from RefSeq and is a predicted model, not a curated record. NCBI's taxonomy places the organism in Eukaryota, Metazoa, Chordata, Aves, Apodiformes, Apodidae.
UCCGCGGCGGCUGCGCGGGCCGGGCCGUGUCCCCGUGUCCCCGUCCCCACCCGCGGGCUUCCCGCGUGCCCCUGCGACCUGCUGCCGUGACGCUGUCCCGCUCCUUCCUUGCCUUCCUGAGGAGCCCCCGCGGGGACGAGCGGCCUCCCCACUCGAGUCCCGGGAGCUUUUUCCUGCUGUUCCCCUUAGCCCUGAAGGACACAACAGGCACAGCGUGGCGCUUGGGUUUCUCCCCGGUUCCAUCGGGAUCGCUACCAGGGCUGCAGUUCCCACCUGCAGCCAGGUUCCUCCCAAACAGCCUUUUGAUCCAGAGUAUUUUGCAGGUGAAAGUCCUGCAGGAAGCUUACAGUCAACCACGCUUGGUUUAACUGCUUAACUUCUCUCUUUCAGCCUAAAUCACCACAGGAGACACGUUACUUCAGUGUCACGGCACAUGUGGAGACGCUGGUUUUCUGCUGGGACUUGGUUUCUGGUCCUGCUUUGCUCUGACCCGGUGUGUCUGUUCUGGCAGUCGGUGAUGGAGAAGUGUGGCAUUCACAGCAGCUCACUAAGGACACACACCAAAGCCAGCAAUUCCAGAAUCAGACUUGCCUUAACAAUGCUUGCAGGACAGAGCUCCUGAAGCUGGGAGGCUGGCAGCUGCUGAACCAGUGACCUUCAAGUCCAGUAAACUUUAACUUUGUUAGCUUUGGAGGAAUGUGUGAUUCCUGACUCCUGUGCCAGAACAACUGCUUGUGGGAUGGUGCUGGUGCUGUUGACCAAGGAGAAUCCCAGCAAUACAGAAGGAACCCAACAGGAGGUGUUGAGGCUGGCAAAGCCAGGCUCCCCAGAGCUCCCUGGGCCUACAGCCUGUUCUGAUCCACAGUACGGCUGUGCAAGAACCUGUGGUCACUUCCUGGGAAAUGACUGUCAUCUCCUGCCUGUGAACUGCUUUGGAAUGGUUUCCUGUUUUCAGCCCCUUUAAGAUGUGCAGUGUGGCUCCCCUGCCUUUCAGCAUUGUGAAAAUUUUCAUUUGCAGCUUAAAGAUUGUGGUUGCUCCCCUCAGCUUUAAAUGUUCAGCGAGUGGCUUUGUGGAGUCACACUGACAGCCCAGUGCUUCAGCAGAAAAAGCUGCCUGCUGGAGCCACUCAGCAACUCCCUGAAAUCUGCAAGCAAAUUAUAUACACGUCUUAUUCCGAGGUGUUAUCAACUUGCAGCCACUAUGUUAGUACUAACAAAAGCCUGUACCGUGAUAUCAACUCUCAGUCAAGUUGAAGCACAUUUCUGAUGUUUGAGGCUGGGAAAACUGAUUGAACACCUGGAAUCAGCAGCCUCAGAGAAGCAGUUGCUUCAGUGCCUCCCUGGCCGUGCAGACAGAUUGGACUGGGGAGCCUCACCAAGUGAGGUACUUGUCAUGUCAGACCACCUGGCUGCAGCUGUGAUCACCUGAAGCUUUAGAGAGACCCAUUUAUUUACUCAGACCUACAAAACCAUACAGAACAUCUCCCAAGAAUGAGCUUUUCUUAACAUAACCCAAAUAAGCUGGAGCUGAGUAAAUGAUCACGCAACAGUCACAGUAAAAGACCAUUUUGCUGCAGUUAAUGUCACAGGCAUGAUCCCAGCAUGCCACAUUUGCUGAUCCUAUACAAUUCAACAAAGGCAAAGAGAAAUGCAGAACUACUAUCUCCAAAAACCAUUUAUUCUUGUUGCCACUUCGGUCUUCCCAGGGCUCGGAAUGGGAAAGCUUGAUUCUGUUACGUGAAGAUACUUAGUAAUCUUGGAAGUCCUUUGACUCAUUAUCAGCCCAACAGUGUGGAACUGUUGAGUGGGUAUUAAAAUAUGGAGAUGUGUAGGCUCGUAA